UCCAGACUCCUACGGGAGGCAGCAGUGGGGAAUAUUGCACAAUGGGGGGAACCCUGAUGCAGCGACGCCGCGUGGGUGAGGAAGUACUUCGGUAUGUAAAGCCCUAUCAGCAGGGAAGAAAAUGACGGUACCUGCCUAAGAAGCCCCGGCUAACUACGUGCCAGCAGCCGCGGUAAUACGUAGGGGGCAAGCGUUAUCCGGAUUUACUGGGUGUAAAGGGAGCGUAGACGGCAGCACAAGUCUGGAGUGAAAUGCCGGGGCUUAACCCCGGAACUGCUUUGGAAACUGUGCAGCUAGAGUGCAGGAGAGGUAAGUGGAAUUCCUGGUGUAGCGGUGAAAUGCGUAGAUAUUAGGAGGAACACCAGUGGCGAAGGCGGCCUGCUGGGCUUUUACUGACGCUGAGGCUCGAAAGCGUGGGUAGCAAAUAGGAUUAGAUACCCCUGUA
This 445-nucleotide ribosomal RNA is filed under the name uncultured bacterium. Its description in RNAcentral is "bacterial SSU rRNA". It matches the Rfam family "Bacterial small subunit ribosomal RNA", at positions 330 to 792 of the family's 1533-position model. The record is from RNAcentral.